Molecule: ribosomal RNA, 206 nt
Filed under: uncultured bacterium
Lineage: Bacteria
Description: partial 16S ribosomal RNA
Rfam family: Bacterial small subunit ribosomal RNA
Source: RNAcentral
UGCGUAGGCGGUCCGCUAAGUUAGAUGUGAAAACUCUGGGCUCAACCCAGAGCCUGCAUCUAAUACUGACGGGCUAGAGUUCUGGAGGGGGUAGCGGAAUUCCUGGUGUAGCGGUGAAAUGCGUAGAUAUCAGGAGGAACACCGGUGGCGAAGGCGGCUACCUGGACAGAGUCUGACGCUGAGGCACGAAAGCUGGGAGCAAACGG